GGCUCCUAAUGAAAGAAUAUGAAGUGAAAUUGGUAAAAUUUUUAAAGGCCAGGACCCGUUGAGGUGACCCAUACCGAUUUUCAUAGCUUGUCGCAAACAGCUGAAAUUCGGAACUGUGAUACUUAAUGGCUUCUCAUGAAAUUAUAUGAAGUCAAAGAGGAACAAAAAGUAGCCAGAGGGGUACCCAUACCGAUUUCUAAGAGUUUAUAUAUUCAGAUAAAAUUUAGUGCGGAGUCGAAAAAAAAGUUAGAAUUAAAAUAUAGGAGGGUUGAAUUUCGAAAUUUUUAUACGAACAGCCUCUACUGCUCGUGGUAUUUGGUUUGGUGCCAAGUAAUACUACCAAGUGACGUUAAGUUAAUGCAAGAAUUAGUGAAAAAUGGUACAACAUUCUGACAAACAUGGGUUUGCUAAUCAAUCCUGGUUCGGGCUAAGCAAAGCUGUACAGAUAUGUUGGAAUUUCCGUAAAUAAUCUCUAUAAAGCUGGAGUUUUUUGGGGCUAGUAUAUUACGAUCAAGUAUUUAUUAUCAAUAGCAAAUAUUUGACCUAAACUUUUCUCAAACUUAUAAACAUGUGCAGAUAGUGAAGAAGUAAGUCGAGCGUUCUCUGGGGCAGUAUUGGCAUUGUGAAAAACCUAUCAGUACAGCCUGUACUGAUAGGUUUUUCACAAUGAAAUUUUCUAUACAAUUGUGAUACUAUUUUGCACUAAUUCUUACAUAACUCAUAGAAAUCGGUAUGGGUCACCCCCUCUGGGGUGACUUUAACUUAUAGUUGCUUUUUGUUCGUAUUUGACUUCAUAUUAUUUCAUGAGAAGCCAUUAAGUAUCACUGUUUUGAAUUUCAGCUUUUUUCCGACAAGUUCUGAAAAUCGGUAUGGGUCACCCCAACGGGUCCCGGACGAUGAAAAUUUUACCAAUUCACUUCAUAUUCUUCCAUUAGGGGCCAUAAGCAGCCUUUAUACAAAAUUUCAGCUCGAUUGGAUGAUUUUGAAAAAUCGGUAUUGGUCAUACCCUCUCCGGUACUUCCGGUUGAAAAAUUUUCCAAUCUCGCUUUAUAUUCUUCUAUUAGGAACCAUUAGCACGCUCCGUGCCAAAUUUCAGCUUUCUAUCACAAUUUUGAGAUUUAGGUGCCUAAUACCCACUGGUCCAAAUAUGACCCCCACCGGUCCAAAUCUUUUCUCAUCGAACCCCAUCUUCGAACUCGGUCGUUGCAUAUACAUGUCUGCACCAAAUUUGGUUAAAAUCGGUCAACUCGUUCGAAAGUUAUCGAAAGACAGACGGACAUGACGAUCACAUAAGCCCUGGUUCGGGCUAAAAAAAAUUACACGACUUUGAUGUGCUCGGGCGGACAAUUUUGUUUUUGGAAUUACACGACUUUGAUGUGCUUGGGCGAUAGAUUUUGUUUUUGAAAUCACACGACAUUGAUGUACUUGGGCGCAUGGUUACCGUACAAGAAUUACACGACUUUGAUGCACGAUUGCUUGACAUUUAGUAUCUAGCGACGUUUUGUGCAGCACAUGACAUUCAUGUGCUUGGGAGGCAACUGGUUAAUGAAAAUCAUAGUUCUACAUUAAAACUAAAAUGUACAAACAAUCAAAAUAAUAUCGAAUGAAUUAGAAUGCGAACGCUGAACAUGAUGUAAUUUACAAUCAUAAAUUAUGAUUCAUAGUAGAAAAUUAAAUGACUCUUGACUUUACUAUUAAUUAUUAAUGACGUCGAUAUGUUAGUAUAUUUUUGAGAUUAAACAAAUAGAUAAAAAUAUGACCGAAAUAAAUAAAUAUAAUAUAUUACUCUCAUCUCA
Molecule: long non-coding RNA, 1796 nt
Organism: Folsomia candida
Lineage: Eukaryota; Metazoa; Arthropoda; Collembola; Entomobryomorpha; Isotomidae
Exons: 2
Source: RefSeq, a predicted model, not a curated record